CGUGUGCGGUCCUGGGUCUAACACUCAGCACCACCCGAGGAAAUGACACAGAGCUUGCUUUUCUCAGAAUAAGAUGUUCAAACUGCUCUUCUCAUACGCCGCCUGUAUCUUUUAACCUUUGUAUGGUUUGUUCCACACCUAGGGCACGCUCAGCAUCUUGUCGCUGUGGGACGCAUCCAGCAUCUUCAGAGACAAUUCAGAGAAGACUGGCCGUGAACCCUUUGUUUUCAAUUUCCUCGCCUUUUGGACCACUGUGUUGUGGACCAGCAGCUCUUCUUCACGUGAGAAGACAGACGCUUGAUGCAUCCAAAGGCCUGCUCUCUGGUUCCAAGUCUGCCCAGAUUUGUAUCAUUCGGUGAAUUUCCUGCUAACUGUUUGAGUAAAAGCAACGAGGUUAAAGGAGGCUUCUCGGUCCUUGUUCUUGCAGAACAGCCGGCUCUUUGUCCUUCUGGAGUCUCUGGGGCUCAGCCCCAGCCUCUUCUUGGAUAACAUGUUGCUCUUCGUCCUGCUGGGCCGCAGCCAGGAGAUCUGAAGCUUCAAACACUAGCUCUUUGCCAGAUCUUUUCUUCUGCCUGGAAAGCCCUUGCCAGACAGCCACAUUUCAUUCUGUCCGGUCCAGGCGUUUUAUCUGCUCUCCACCAGACCAACGCAAAAUGCUUCAUGUGCCGGCUGUGCAGGCAAUCCACUUCCAGUAUCUGUGUGUGCACACUCCCACCAUACCAGCCUGCUGUCUAAAGCGCCCCAGAGGUAUUUCUCAGGUUCUGGCAAAACCACCGAGAUGCUUCUCAAACAAAAACCUUUACAAUUUCAAAGAGUGUUGGGACAAUGGGAGUUUAGAUGCAUCCGGGGCUUUUUCUCUGUGCCUUUAUAUCAAACGCCUUUAUAUCAAACCCGCAGAACAGUGGGUGCCAGAUUCAGAUGUGAAGUGCUGAAAUUAUAAAAUGCAAAUGCCAUUUGGCAAGAGGGAAGUCUGAUGGAUUCAUAUUCAAAUGUUUGCAAAAUUGAACUCUUUGGCUUGUGUGUGUUCUAGAGUGCUGGCCAGAAACUUUAGAU
This is a non-coding RNA of Myodes glareolus (Bank vole), 1053 nucleotides long. NCBI's taxonomy places the organism in Eukaryota, Metazoa, Chordata, Mammalia, Rodentia, Cricetidae. The record is from RefSeq and is a predicted model, not a curated record.